RNAcentral lists this ribosomal RNA (495 nucleotides) under uncultured bacterium. Its description in RNAcentral is "partial 16S ribosomal RNA". It matches the Rfam family "Bacterial small subunit ribosomal RNA", at positions 28 to 507 of the family's 1533-position model. The record is from RNAcentral.
GACGAACGCUGGCGGCGUGCCUAAUACAUGCAAGUAGAACGCUGAAGGAGGAGCUUGCUUCUCUGGAUGAGUUGCGAACGGGUGAGUAACGCGUAGGUAACCUGCCUGGUAGCGGGGGAUAACUAUUGGAAACGAUAGCUAAUACCGCAUAACAGUAGAUAUCGCAUGAUAUCUACUUGAAAGGUGCAAUUGCAUCACUACCAGAUGGACCUGCGUUGUAUUAGCUAGUUGGUGAGGUAACGGCUCACCAAGGCGACGAUACAUAGCCGACCUGAGAGGGUGAUCGGCCACACUGGGACUGAGACACGGCCCAGACUCCUACGGGAGGCAGCAGUAGGGAAUCUUCGGCAAUGGACGGAAGUCUGACCGAGCAACGCCGCGUGAGUGAAGAAGGUUUUCGGAUCGUAAAGCUCUGUUGUAAGAGAAGAACGAGUGUGAGAGUGGAAAGUUCACACUGUGACGGUAUCUUACCAGAAAGCCACGGCUAACUACGUG